RNAcentral lists this ribosomal RNA (465 nucleotides) under Vreelandella stevensii. RNAcentral's name for it is "partial 16S ribosomal RNA". It matches the Rfam family "Bacterial small subunit ribosomal RNA", at positions 338 to 795 of the family's 1533-position model. Lineage: Bacteria; Pseudomonadati; Pseudomonadota; Gammaproteobacteria; Oceanospirillales; Halomonadaceae. The record is from RNAcentral.
CCUACGGGUGGCAGCAGUGGGGAAUAUUGGACAAUGGGCGAAAGCCUGAUCCAGCCAUGCCGCGUGUGUGAAGAAGGCCUUCGGGUUGUAAAGCACUUUCAGUGGGGAAGAAAGCCUUGGGGCUAAUACCCUCGAGGAAGGACAUCACCCACAGAAGAAGCACCGGCUAACUCCGUGCCAGCAGCCGCGGUAAUACGGAGGGUGCGAGCGUUAAUCGGAAUUACUGGGCGUAAAGCGCGCGUAGGCGGUCUGAUAAGCCGGUUGUGAAAGCCCCGGGCUCAACCUGGGAACGGCAUCCGGAACUGUCACGCUAGAGUGCAGGAGAGGAAGGUAGAAUUCCCGGUGUAGCGGUGAAAUGCGUAGAGAUCGGGAGGAAUACCAGUGGCGAAGGCGGCCUUCUGGACUGACACUGACGCUGAGGUGCGAAAGCGUGGGUAGCAAACAGGACUAGAUACCCGAGUAGUC